Non-coding RNA from Acanthosepion pharaonis, 109 nucleotides. NCBI's taxonomy places the organism in Eukaryota, Metazoa, Mollusca, Cephalopoda, Sepiida, Sepiidae. The record is from the annotation of a GenBank genome assembly.
UUACGACCAUAUCACGUUGAAACACCAAUUUCCGUACGAUCACCGAAGUUAAACAACGUGUAGCCUGGUCAGUACCUUGGUGGGUGACCGCCUGGUAAUAUCAGGUUGU